This 723-nucleotide ribosomal RNA is filed under the name Delftia sp. L2128. RNAcentral's name for it is "bacterial SSU rRNA". It matches the Rfam family "Bacterial small subunit ribosomal RNA", at positions 24 to 744 of the family's 1533-position model. Lineage: Bacteria; Pseudomonadati; Pseudomonadota; Betaproteobacteria; Burkholderiales; Comamonadaceae. The record is from RNAcentral.
UCAGAUUGAACGCUGGCGGCAUGCCUUACACAUGCAAGUCGAACGGUAACAGGUCUUCGGACGCUGACGAGUGGCGAACGGGUGAGUAAUACAUCGGAACGUGCCCAGUCGUGGGGGAUAACUACUCGAAAGAGUAGCUAAUACCGCAUACGAUCUGAGGAUGAAAGCGGGGGACCUUCGGGCCUCGCGCGAUUGGAGCGGCCGAUGGCAGAUUAGGUAGUUGGUGGGAUAAAAGCUUACCAAGCCGACGAUCUGUAGCUGGUCUGAGAGGACGACCAGCCACACUGGGACUGAGACACGGCCCAGACUCCUACGGGAGGCAGCAGUGGGGAAUUUUGGACAAUGGGCGAAAGCCUGAUCCAGCAAUGCCGCGUGCAGGAUGAAGGCCUUCGGGUUGUAAACUGCUUUUGUACGGAACGAAAAAGCUUCUCCUAAUACGAGAGGCCCAUGACGGUACCGUAAGAAUAAGCACCGGCUAACUACGUGCCAGCAGCCGCGGUAAUACGUAGGGUGCGAGCGUUAAUCGGAAUUACUGGGCGUAAAGCGUGCGCAGGCGGUUAUGUAAGACAGAUGUGAAAUCCCCGGGCUCAACCUGGGAACUGCAUUUGUGACUGCAUGGCUAGAGUACGGUAGAGGGGGAUGGAAUUCCGCGUGUAGCAGUGAAAUGCGUAGAUAUGCGGAGGAACACCGAUGGCGAAGGCAAUCCCCUGGACCUGUACUGAC